CCUAGAAUCCCAGAACUCACGUGAACGUAGACUCCACUCCUUCCCUCUGAUCCUUCUGCAUCUUCAUCAAAUAUGCAUCCAAAAAAUCAUCAGGCUCAUCGUGCAAAACG
This 110-nucleotide small nucleolar RNA is filed under the name Caenorhabditis brenneri. RNAcentral's name for it is "sRNA CBN34139". The record is from RNAcentral. Lineage: Eukaryota; Metazoa; Nematoda; Chromadorea; Rhabditida; Rhabditidae.